RNAcentral lists this ribosomal RNA (543 nucleotides) under Triticum aestivum (bread wheat). RNAcentral's name for it is "partial small subunit ribosomal RNA". The record is from RNAcentral. Lineage: Eukaryota; Viridiplantae; Streptophyta; Magnoliopsida; Poales; Poaceae.
AUGGCCAAAGGUCCAAAGGUAACACAUCCCGAGUAUGUUGAUUUCAAUAGUGAUGAAGAUGACUUGCUAGGUGAUGAUGAUUUACUUAUUGACAACUCUAGUGAUGAAUACUAUGAUAAAACGUCAAUUAAUCAUGCUAAUCAAGAUAAAACGAAUGACAAUGAUAAGGAGAAGAUUAAGUUUUUAACUAAAGAACUAAACACUCUUAAGUUAGCUCAUGAAACUAUCUUCGAAGAUCAUCGAGAACUUUUAAGGGCUCAUGAGAAGUUACGCUUUGAAAAGCUCAAUCUUGAGCAAGAGCAUGAGUUCUUAAAAGCAAUCAAUGAUGAUCUCCGUAAGAAAAGUUCUUCUUACAUUGCCAAGCGUUUACUCUUAUCUACUUACAUGCCUCAAGUCAAAUCUAGUAACAAGUACAAGAAAGGUCUUCCCUCUAGUAGUAACAAUAAUAAUGCCAAAUCCAAUAUUGUUGCUUCUAGUAGUUCUCUUGAUUCCACUAAUGAUUCUCUUACCAAGUUACACUUGAGCAAGAAAAUAGCUUAUUGA